AGUGGCGGACGGGUGAGUAACGCGUGAGAAUCUGCCUUGGGGUCGGGGACAACCACUGGAAACGGUGGCUAAUACCGGAUAAGCCGAUUGGUGAAAGAUUUAUUGCCCGAAGAGGCGCUCGCGUCUGAUUAGCUAGUUGGUGAGGUAAGAGCUCACCAAGGCAGCGAUCAGUAGCUGGUCUGAGAGGACGAUCAGCCACACUGGGACUGAGACACGGCCCAGACUCCUACGGGAGGCAGCAGUGGGGAAUUUUCCGCAAUGGGCGAAAGCCUGACGGAGCAAGACCGCGUGAGGGAGGAAGGCUCUUGGGUUGUAAACCUCUUUUCUCAGGGAAGAAGCUCUGACGGUACCUGAGGAAUCAGCCUCGGCUAACUCCGUGCCAGCAGCCGCGGUAAUACGGAGGAGGCAAGCGUUAUCCGGAAUUAUUGGGCGUAAAGCGUCCGCAGGUGGCGAUUCAAGUCUGCUGUCAAAGCACGGGGCUUAACUCCGUAAAGGCAGUGGAAACUGAAUAGCUAGAGUGCCGUAGGGGUAGAGGGAAUUCCCGGUGUAGCGGUGAAAUGCGUAGAGAUCGGGAAGAACAUCGGUGGCGAAAGCGCUCUACUGGACGGCAACUGACACUCAGGGACGAAAGCUAGGGGAGCGAAUGGGAUUAGAUACCCC
This 660-nucleotide ribosomal RNA is filed under the name uncultured bacterium. Its description in RNAcentral is "bacterial SSU rRNA". It matches the Rfam family "Bacterial small subunit ribosomal RNA", at positions 94 to 788 of the family's 1533-position model. The record is from RNAcentral.